CUGAUGUGUCGGUACUCCUGGAGGUCACUCUCUCCAGGCUCUGUCCAGGCGGCAUAGGAGAGCACAGGGCUCUGCCCCGUGAUGUGCAAUCCUUUUCCACAACGUUGGCGAUCAAGCCGGGCCUUGAGCCUCUGCCAGCAUAGUCCUGCAGUUUCUCAGGACAGUGACUGAGGAGACACACCACGCAGGAAACAGCU
This is a small nucleolar RNA of Echinops telfairi (small Madagascar hedgehog), 197 nucleotides long. RefSeq annotates it as small nucleolar RNA SNORA73 family. The record is from RefSeq and is a predicted model, not a curated record. Lineage: Eukaryota; Metazoa; Chordata; Mammalia; Afrosoricida; Tenrecidae. The transcript has a single exon.